ACCACACCUCGUGCCUCCUGUCCCCAUCGCGUUGGUCCGCGUUCCAGUUUCCCCACUUCCGACAACGCAGUGAACAUGCUGGACAAAACCCUCUAAUCAGGCUCUGAGCACGUGGUGCUGAUGAAGGUGAUGACGCGGAGGAUUUUCGGGGUUCCUUCAAUUUCAUGGACCUUUGUCGUUUCCUUAAAAGGGAUUCCUUAAAGGUACAACUAAUUAUGACUUUAACAAGAGUUCUCGUCUAAAUACGUCCACAAAUUAGAAACCACCCUUUCGUUCACACGCCCCUUUUGAGGGCUGAGAAAAAUAUGACCGCCAUAAGGAUGGCAAAGCAAGUCGCCCCAUCAGCAAACGGUGUGUUGACUGCGUCUCUGUGUGUGCUCGCUGCUGGCUCUCAAAGAUUUCUAGCCCUAAUUUCACCAUUUUUCAGAGUACUUUUUUACACAUGAUAUUUCAUUAGAUAUUAACACGGUGACUAUUGAAGGCAAAAACCCAGUAUCCUCAGCUCAUCGGUGAACUCGUUCAUUCGUUUGCUCAGACUGCGACCUCCCACGACGUUGUCACGUGGCCUUUCUCUCCCUUCCCUCCGAGUCCCUAAUGCUACUGGAGAAAUCGUAUAACCUUGCAUAUUGGUGUCAUUUUUCUAAGCAGUAAUUAUUUAAUAUUACCAAACGUUCAGUUAGAGUUCAUCUUUCCAAUUGUCUCAUAAAAUAAGUUGCUUCCCACCGUGUGUGUAGGAAUCAUACAAGUAGUCCUUCCAUAAUGUGACCGAUGUGUCUCUUAAGCCCCUGUUAAUAGAUUGAUUUUCUUCCCAUUUCUUUUUUUCUUUUCCUCUUUGCGAUUUGCUUAUUGUAAAAACCAGGUCGUGUGCCCGGCACUCCCCUGCAGACUGGACUUGCUGAGUGUGCCCCUUGUGGUGUCUCUUAGCGUGUUCCUUCGCCCUUUGUAUUAUCUGUAGCUCGGAGGCUGGGUGCAGGAGCUCGGGCAGAUUCUGUUGCGUGGGGGUCGGGGAUGCUCAGGAAGCACUUGUCUGAUUGUCCCUCCUUGUGAUGUAGCAGCCAUCGCUCACCCGUGCCGUCACCCUCCCCCAAACUGUUAUGUUCUAUCAUUCCUUCUUCAUCUGUAGCUAAAAUUCUUCCAGAAACAGAAAAUUCCCAACGGUGACAUAAACAAAACAAGUAGAAUUGGAUUCUCUUCAUUUUGAACUCAGUGAAUUUGUCCAUUGAUGUCCUCCAAUGGGGACCAAUUAGUUUUUGGGUUGGGUUGUUUUUUGUUUUUGUUUUUGUUUUUACUUUUUUUUUCCCCUUGUGAACUCAUAUUUGGAUGUACACAUACUCGAUGUCCAGUCCGCUGUAAUUCUAGCCUUUCUGGUGCUCAAAAUGUACCUUCUCUGGCCAGCGGGAACCUCUUCGAGUUGGCGCCUGGUUUUCUUCACAUGACUCCAGUGGCCUUUGAUCUGUUCCUUGCCUUCUGGUGUGACAGUACCAGCCCCAUCUUGUACAUUUUCUGCUCCUAAGACCCGGAACCAAUCAUUUCUCCAAGAAGCCCUGGUUCUUUUUGGUGGAAAAAGGAAUUUCAGGACCACAGUUGGGUGCUACGAUGCCUGUGACUUUUAACCUCAUGAUCUCAGAGCUUCGCUGCCUGAGACAGUUACAUGGUUAAACUCAUUUUCUCUAAGACAGUUAUUUCAGCCGUCUGCUCCUUGAUCACACAUUCCCGCCCUCGGCAGCCUUCCUGGCCUUACGCCUCCCUGAGAGAGAGGAGCCCUCAUCUUCCUUCACUGAACCUCCCGCAUCGUCGUCUUCCCGGCAGUGAUGGAGGACCAGUUCCCGCUUCCCUCCACACAUGCUGGGACCCCACCCAUCUUUCCUCCCCGAGGACUUUGUUCCUUCCCAUAUGCCCACCCAUCUCUUCCUCUCUCCUGGAUCAUUCCCGUCAGGUUACAGGUAAACAUCACCUGGGCCCAUCUCUCCUCUUGACCACUGUGACCACCCCGCCACUGGACUCUGGCAGUACCUGCCCUGCUUCCUCUCCCCACCGUAUAGCACGCAUGGCGAGUCCCGUCCCUGAUGCACUUGGGCGAGGUCCCCGCUCUUGCUGCCCUGUCCUCCCACCCGCCGGCCUCCAUUCCUUCCUCAUCCCCGAGUUCCAGGCAUGCUCCCCUUGCUUAGUCCCGUGCCUGUAUGUCAAGCCCCAACUCAAAAUGCCAUUGUCCACUGGCUGGGUCCCUCUCAGCAAUCUUUCCCCAGCCUACGUAGGACCCUGCAAAGGGAUGCGCAUUUCCCUGUUCUCUCCCCUCUGAAUCCUUCCCACGUCGGUGCUUUCCUUGGUCGCCUUCACUCAGAAUCUUGCAGAUCAACGCCGGACUCCAGAACCUGAUGGCCUGGGCCUGAGUCCCGGCUCCGCUUUCCACACUGGGCGACCCCCAGCCAUUUGCCUAACUUCUCGGUGCCUCGGAUUCUUCACGUCUCAUGCGGACAAGCUGUGAGAAGGAAGCUCGUUGAUAAGUCAAGGGCAUGGAGCGGCGCCCGGCACCACAAUCGAAAUUUCAUUUCUAGAAUCGAAACGCUGAUGCACAAGGUACCGGUAACGUAACACAAACUGAGCAGCCGCAGCCACCGGAGGAGCUGGAGGAUGAGAUCAACGAGGUUAAAAUCCACGCGGCGGGCUCCGCAUUCUCCGUCGUCCGCAGCCAGGAGCCCAGGGAAGCGGGGCCGCCCGGCAGGGUGGGCGGUCAUUUCUCUCCCGGUGGCGAGGAAAGCGAGCGAGUGCCGUUCUAGUUCUCUGGCGUCACCCGUCGCAGAAACAGCGGCGCCUCCUGGCCACCGUCCACCCACUUUCCCCGUCUCUUCAUUUGAGACGGACACUUGAGAAAGCGGUUGGGGACUAACGGGUUUGGGGCUGGAUGGCGGGCAGUGUCUGCCCUGUCUUUUCGCAGCCAGCAUCUGGUCAUCACUGUUGUUCUUUGGGCACAGGACUCGAUGCUGCCUUGGCAACGGUUAUCAAUUAAUUUUUCCCACGUUUCAUGUACUUCCUCUGAAGGCGAACCUGGCGGCAUGGGAGGACAGGAACGAUUUCUGAUUUGCUCACGAGAACACCAGAGCCCGAACCGGACGUGCUAUUAGACAGCGGUCCCAGCGCCUCGCCCCGUGUUUGUCUGCUGGGUACGCUCUGCUCUGGUUUCGUGUUUUAUUCUAUCUGGGAGAACUUAUUUUUGCACCACGUAGCUAACGGAUUCAGGUUCCCUCAUGUGCCGUUGACUCAGGCACAGAUCGUUAGUAUUUUCGGCACAGCUCUGGAAAUGAGACCACUUGUCACUGUCCCCAUGGACAUAUUUCUCAGGGAGUAUGGACGAAAAGGGGUGGGAAAUAAAAAGCUGACAGCGGCUGAAAAAAUAUUACAGCGUUUUUGCGGAUCCAGCUCUGUGUCUGUUUUAACCUCAAGAUCGAACAUAAAUCCAGCUAAGAUGUACCAAAAAUGGUAACUGAAAGAGGAUGUCCCAGAGUUUACCGAGCACAAUAAAAAUCAAAAAGGACCUGUUAUCCCAGGUCACUUAGCUUGUCCUUGUCACUUCUGAGUCCCUUUACAGCUUCCGAAAGGACCCCUCGUUGAAAGAGGCGUUGAUUCUCAACGAGGACAUGGCUUUGGCACUACAAAAAUACCUUAUAGUUUGUUUUCAAACGUAUUAGAUUUUAAAAAUCUGCAAUGACUCCAUGCCUGGCUCCAGCUAGGUCUCCCGGAGUGAGCUGAGUGUCUCUGGUGACUGAGCUGUUUUCAGCCUUGAACUCCUUCCCGCCUUCCACGCCCAUACCACCGGUGCCUGCACGUAUCUAUCUAGACAGUAAUAGGGACUAGACAGCCAGGUGUUUUCGUGCUCUUCACAUCCGGAAGCUUUGCUCAUAAUUAGUUGAAUAAGCUUUCUCUGCCCGUUAGGGCCAAGAUCUUCAGGAAGUGGUGAGGAUAUGUACAACUUUCUCUGCCUUCUCGUUUGGUUCUCUGCCACAACUUUUCCCGUUCUUUCCAAAACCCUUCAUACAAAAACGUCAAACCCCACACGGAGCCACACAGGACGGUCGGCUCUGAAGGGAAACACACCUCUCGGAGGAAGGGCUUGCUUGCCUUUCCCCUCACGGCUCAUCCCUUCCCGUUUCUCCUUCCUUUGGCCAAAAGGUGAGAGAUCUUCCCUCUGCCGCACUCAGCACAGCCAUUCUGAGCAUAAAGAGCUCUUGGGUGCUUUUCACAGUGAUGGCACGUAUUAAAAUACCGUGUCGCUCAGACAGCCCGCCUGGGGCAUCAGCUGGAAGCCUCGAGGACUCACUGGAAACGACUUCCCAUCCACUUGUGCAAUGACUCAUCUCUCCCCGUCCGGGACAUCCCUUUAGCUCCUGCGUUAUUAAAGGAGAGAGAAGGAGAAGCAAUUACAAGAAAAAGAACAGGAUGCAGUUAACAAAAGUCUGGUUAGGUGAGGAUAUUGACGUCUAAGAGUGACCCUUUAAUGAGUCACCUAUACCUUUAAAAAUCUGAUGAAAGAUACACCUUCCCCAGGGGAAAAAAAAAAGUAAAAAUAGGCAAAAGAAUUACUUGCCUAUGACCACAUGGGAUUCAUUGAUACACACACCCAAGUACUACAUGGGCCACAGGCCAAGAAUUCCCAUUUCAGAAGCAAGUUAGAAGAAGCUGCUAACAAAAGUACCUCUAGGGGUGGUUGGAAAUUAAUCUUAACUACAAAGAAAUGUGGAGGGCACCAGGAAAUGCAGAGCUAACAGCAUGCAAAAGACGGGGAUCAAGAACUGAGGGCUCCUCAAAGGACCUUUUUAACUCACCAGGGCGGGUUCUCCUGGUGUAGGUAGUGCCUGCCAUUCAUGCUAAUUUGUUUUCCGUUCCGUUAAGACGUGUGGGAGGGAGGAAUAAACCCUUCUGAAUUGCAAUGGAUUGAUCCAUCUGGAAGUGAUUUCAACACAUCAACAAAAGAAUUCAGUCUCACAAAAAUGGUUUGCUUUUAUAAAUUUUUGUUUCGUUUUGCUUCCUCUUGUGGGUUGAUAGUUUUCCAAAUGGUACAUUUUCAAAUACUCCUGCGUCACUAAGGCAGCAUAUUUUCAGACACCUGUUCGGGGUCUGGGUGAACGCAGACUCUGGCUCGGCCACCAGGGGGACUACAGCAGUCAGGACAGGCUGGUGCAGCUUGAGCUGCCUAAGGAACAACUCCAGAUCUGAGUGGCUCAGCGUGGCAGGCAUUUAUUUCUUGCUCAUGCAUAAUCUGCUGUGGUCCCAGGAGCUCUCCAGGCUGUCUCUCCCCAGUGUGUUGGCUCAGUUCUCAGCUGCUUGAACCCUUCAGCUCCUUUAUGUCACCACUGACUCCACUGUCACCGUAGGGGAAGGGCUGGAGAGCGAGCGCCAGCAAUCACAUGCUUCCCCCUGGAGGUGCACGCGUUGCUCCAACUCCUUUCUUUGGCCAAAGAAUGUCACAUGGUGAUGACUAAUUUUAUGGAGAUGGGAAAGCACAGUCCAUCGCGGAGCCCAGAGGAAAUGAGAACCAAAUGAUAAAAGCUGCAAUGUCUGCUGCAGAGACUCUUGGAACAUACUUGAAAAUUAAACUUUGAAGAAUA
Pteropus alecto (black flying fox) is the source of this 5603-nucleotide long non-coding RNA. RefSeq lists it as uncharacterized. NCBI's taxonomy places the organism in Eukaryota, Metazoa, Chordata, Mammalia, Chiroptera, Pteropodidae. The record is from RefSeq and is a predicted model, not a curated record. The transcript has 3 exons.